CCUAAGAAGGGGGAGGACCUGAACCCUGCUAAGAGUCAAUACCCCUGCAGGAGUCCACGGGACCAUACACACUUACUCUCUCUCUCUCUCUCUCACACACACACACACACACACACACACACACACACACACACACACACACACACACACACACACACACACACGCAUACUUGCUACUGCAGCCUGAAUGAGCUCAAAGCAGAAGGAGAAGCAGAGCGAGGAAGCAGGAGUGUGAGAGAGGGGAGGAGGAAUCUCUGGAGUUACUACUUGUUGCUUUUUUGGUUUUUCUGUGUGGAUUGAGGAUGGUAUUUCUUCUGCUUUCCCUGCGGCAGUGGGACCUUGUCUGAGAGUCUCCUCCAGAGAGGUCAGGACGCCGACGCAGCAUGCCCGGCAGCUCCUCAGACAAGAACCCCCCCACCAUGGAGGCUACGUCCACUGCUGCCACGCCUUUCAGAGUCACCGGCUUCCUCAGUCGCCGGCUGAAGGGCUCCAUAAAACGCACCAAGAGUCAACCCAAACUGGACCGAAACUCCAGCUUCAGACACAUCCUGCCUGGCUUCAGGAGCGUUGACAAUG
Notothenia coriiceps (black rockcod) is the source of this 576-nucleotide long non-coding RNA. RefSeq lists it as uncharacterized. Lineage: Eukaryota; Metazoa; Chordata; Actinopteri; Perciformes; Nototheniidae. The record is from RefSeq and is a predicted model, not a curated record. The transcript has 3 exons.